Chinchilla lanigera (long-tailed chinchilla) is the source of this 2080-nucleotide long non-coding RNA. RefSeq lists it as uncharacterized. The record is from RefSeq and is a predicted model, not a curated record. NCBI's taxonomy places the organism in Eukaryota, Metazoa, Chordata, Mammalia, Rodentia, Chinchillidae. The transcript is spliced from 3 exons.
AGGGCGAUGUAUUCUUAUUCCCUGGUCCUCCCUUCACUUUCUCUGCCCUCUGGCUGCUGUGGGUUGAACACUUUUGUCUUCAUUGUGCAUUUCUGCCAUCUGGAGCGAGCUUUAGAGGCUGCUGAAAUUCCCUGGCUCAGAGCUCUCUUCCAUCCCCAAGUCCAGCAGUGAAGGGCCAGUUGUGUUUCUCAUCAUGUCAUCCUAAGUUCUGAUUUUUUGGGCUUCCCACCCCCAUUUAGGAAUCUUGUGAUUACACUGUGUCAUCAGAUAAUCCAGAAUAAUAUCCCUAAAGGGCUUUAGGACUUGACUUUUGUGGCACCAGAAGAACUGCUACUUGUGGGAACAAAGCACUGAAGGACUUCAUCAUCUUACAUAUCCUUUGAAAGAUGCGGGGUGAGAACUCCAAUAGAGGUACCUGCUAUGAUCAUCGAAGCAACAUGGGGACCAAACGCAAGCCAGAAGGGGCAGGUAAAGCUAUGGUCAUCCAAUCUACAUGGAGACCAAAGUGCAAGCCAGAAGGCGAAGGUGAAUGAGUUCCCACAAGGUCAUCUGUGAUUCUGAAGUUCUUAAUGUAACUUGUUUGUAUCUCAGAACCUCCUAGGGGGAAACAGAUUAUCAGGUCAUAUGAAAUCAGUCUUAAUGACUGUAAUGAUUAAUUUUAUGUGUCAACUUGACAGGAGGAUGUAUACAGGUUAUCUGCAAAUAUAUGCCACUUUGUACCAGGGAUUUGCACAUCUGUGGAUUUUUAUAUCCAUGGGAAGGAGUUUCUGGAAUCAAACCAUCACAGAUACCAGGAAGACUGCUUAUAUAAAUAUGACUGGUCCACAUGGAAUAGCUGGGACUUGAAAGAGCUCAAGUUGUACGGCAAGCAAAGGAACUCAUCUGAUGGAAACGUAUCAUGCAGACUUCUAGAGGGACGGGCCAGUUCGUAGAGAACAUUUAUAUCUUAGAACAACUUGGCAUUAGACUAGGAGCAAAUGACACUCGUUUUUGUUUUUUUUUUUGUUUUUUUUUUUUUUUAACUGCUAGAGAAUACCUGGUAAAUUUUGGAAGGGGCUCUUACUUUGCAGGAAGAGUGUGAUGACUAGUAAUAAAUAAAUCAACAGACUAAGAAAAGGCUGCUAGAAAUUGUAGGAAGCAUGGGAUACUCCUCAGUCCUUCCCCACUGAAUGUUUACCAUAAAUGAUAAUGCUCAAAGGGCCAAGCAGUAAUGUGAGAAAAUGUUUAUAAUCAAAUACCAGGGAAGGAAUAUAAGUUGUUAUGUUCAUGUAAAAGUAGGCCUAGGAAAGUAUGAGAAAUACUGACAACAAAACAAUGGUGGCCGUGCUAAGACAGUGAGACCGCAGCUAAUUUGUCUGCUUAUAAAAGCAAAAGCAGCUGCAUGGUUACACUUUAUUGAACAUUUAGCAGAUGCCUGGUGCUGCAUGCAGCAUGUUGUAGGGAUUAUCUUAUUUAAUCUUCUUAAUAACUCUAUGAGCUAGGUGCUCAGUAGGGGAACGAAGCUGAUGAAACUGGCUGAAAGGUUAAAUAGUUUCCUCAAAGUUACACAGCUAAUGUAUUUCAUCAGAACAGGAUCAUUUAUGCUGUGGUCACAAAACUCCCACUGUCAGUGAUUUGAGAAGGCGAAAGGUUCCUCUCUCACGCAUGUCUCCCUCUGAUGUGGCUCAGACGUCUCUCUCUCACCGAUGGCUCUACAUGAAUGGCAACUUCAGGAUCACAAGUGUCCCUGUCUGGUAACUGUCCUGUCAAAGUUCUUAGGUCCUGCCGUGCUCACUAUAGUGUGGAGAACUGCGCUCCUUCUCCCCAGACUUUUGGUCACAUUCUCAUUGGUCAAAAUGUUAUCACAUGGUCAAAACGUUAUCACAUGGUCUCAACCUAAACAGAAAGGAGACACGGAGAAGUAGUGUUCCAGUGCACAAGGCGCUGUGGUCGGGGUUCCCCGGGAGUGACCGAACUUGAACCUGAACUGAGCACCCUGACUCCAGCAUCUGCCGGCAGGCCCCUGAGGACAAUAUCUUAUUACUGCUCCUUCUGCUGAUAUUCUCUUAGAACUGUCUGGAGGGUUUGCACUAGAAUCAAA